Molecule: small nuclear RNA, 106 nt
Organism: Ctenocephalides felis (cat flea)
Lineage: Eukaryota; Metazoa; Arthropoda; Insecta; Siphonaptera; Pulicidae
Source: RefSeq, a predicted model, not a curated record
GUUCUUGCUUCGGAAGAACAUAUACUAAAAUUGGAACGAUACACAGAAGAUAAGCAUACCCCUUGGCAAGGAUGACACGUAAAAUUGUAAAACAUUCCAAAUUUUU